RNAcentral lists this ribosomal RNA (261 nucleotides) under uncultured prokaryote. RNAcentral describes it as "partial 16S ribosomal RNA". It matches the Rfam family "Bacterial small subunit ribosomal RNA", at positions 524 to 784 of the family's 1533-position model. The record is from RNAcentral.
UACGGAGGAUCCGAGCGUUAUCCGGAUUUAUUGGGUUUAAAGGGUGCACAGGCGGAAGAUUAAGUCGGUGGUGAAAUUUUGCAGCUCAACUGUAAAAGUGCCUUCGAUACUGGCUUUCUUGAGUGUGGAUGAAGUAGGCGGAAUUUGUGGUGUAGCGGUGAAAUGCUUAGAUAUCACGAGGAACUCCGAUUGCGCAGGCAGCUUACUAAACCACUACUGACGCUCAUGCACGAAGGCGUGGGGAUCAAACAGGAUUAGAUA